Molecule: long non-coding RNA, 4102 nt
Organism: Zonotrichia albicollis (white-throated sparrow)
Lineage: Eukaryota; Metazoa; Chordata; Aves; Passeriformes; Passerellidae
Source: RefSeq, a predicted model, not a curated record
GGGAAAAAUUUAGGUUGUCUGAAGCCUGUUAUCUGCCUCUGCACCCCAUGUUCUGCAGGAGGCUGACUAAUGUGCAUGUUUGCAUAAUUACCAGGGUCUGUAAGCAUCUGUGAGCGCACAAACCCCGUGGGAUUCUGGUCACACAGAGGCUGCAAACCUGAUGCUUUGUGUGCCUCUGCAGUGUUUGGGAAUCAUCCAGGCGGGAUCACUUCAUGGCUCAUGUCAUAUUAGAGCUCGCUUCCUCAAGCAGCUCCUGCUGCAUCCCUGUCUGCUCUAGUCAAUGGGAAAAUGCAGCCCACAGCCACUCAGCCCCCUGAAAGCAGACCUUGCAUGAUCCCAUGCAGCUUGCUUUGGUUUCUAAUCUAUCUGCUCUAUUCUCUCUUGUUCCUUCCUUAGCCCGUGAUUCAUCCUGGCCAUGAGGAGGAUUCAGAAUGAAACUGCAAAGCAGAGCAAAACCUUUUUUCUGCCUCCUUCGACUCAGAUGCAGAUGGAUGUUAUUAGAAAGGUUUUUACUUCGAAUGUGCGCGGCUUGUCCACAUGGCUGAGAUUAGUGCUCAAUACUCAUAUAAUGCUUUUCAUCCUCAAAAGGACUUUACAAGCUCCAGCCCUCAAAACACCCCCACAAGUUACUGGAUGGUUUCUUCCUGGAAGAAUGGAUGGAACACAAAUUGAUGGAGUAUGGUAUUGCUAAUUUAAGGAGAAGCUGGGGCAGAUGUUGACAUGAGAUCUGGAGCACACCUUCCCAGCAGGGGUACCAGGACAGAAGACCUCCCAUCACCACUUUUACUCUGAGCGAUGAGGAGCAGACCUGUACCAUGGUCACAAGCACAGAGGAGGUUUGUGUAGAUGUUCCAGAGCUUCAGAAACACACGCUUGACCUUCGAGAGUUGCUGCUGAUUUGUUCAGUGCUCACACAGUGCGCAGCACAGGCCUCCUGGGUGCUGCUGCAGUACAGCCACCUUUCCUUUUGUUUGGGCACCUUUAUCAGCACAGCUAAAGGGAACACUGUGUGGACUGUGAAUUCCUCUCCAAGAUCAUGUAAAUACUUGGACAGUUUCUCUGCUGUUUCUCUGGUAUUAAUCUAACUAAUUAAAGCUGGUUUGCAUACAUCUGCAGCUACAGCAGUAGUUUAAUGAUAAAUAUUCCCAAAUGUAGCUAUGCAAAUAGUCACAAAUUCUGAAUAAAUAUGUGAAAUGCAUUAUGGUAGUCAAAAAUUCUUCAGUUUUUCCUUCAAGAAAAAAACAAAGAAUGAUUUUCCUUUAUGGUACAGGCCAGGUUCUCUUCUGUAACCUUCAGAAUUUCAUAUGAGUAAAGGAUCAUAAAACCUGCAGUAAACAUUCAAGGAUUAUUUUACUAUGGUCUGUGUUAGCUUUCUGUCUAUCAGAGGUGCAGAGUGGUUGUUCCAUAUUAUGCCCAUACAUAAGUGAUUACUGUAUGACAAAUAUCCACAAUGACAGAGGAUGUUAUGUAAAAAAUUAACAGACAAAACCACCCAAACAAACAGACAAACAAACAUGCAAACAAGCAAACUCACGUGCCCUUCAUCAUAAUGCAAAAGGUACUAAAAACUGGAAUUGCGAGUGGUAGUAAUCCCAGCCAUGCAUAAAUCCCAAAAGGUGACAGUCAUUCUUGGAAAUGGUGCCACCCUAAAGAGGGAGCAUAGAGGCUAAUCUUAUUUGAAGGAUAAGAUCAUCUCCCCUUGGUAGUGGUCUUACUUGUACAUAAAAUAAUUAAUCUUUGACUUAAAACCCAACAAAAUUGGCUUCUGCCCAGUCCAGAGGGGAUGGCUGCUGUUGUCAAGGGCAGCUCUGGAGGGUUUCACCAGGCCAAUACCUCUGUUCCCCUAUAACUCUCUACCUCCAUGAAUAGUUAUGGAAGUAUCUUUUUAUGGUUGCCAAGAAGAUGCCAGGAGAGAUCUGGGAAGGAGAGGGGCAAUCCUGAGGGCUGGAGUUUAACUGCAUGAAUCUGCUGCAGCUGCCAUGCCAUCUCCAGGAGGUAGAUGGAAACGAGUACCUACCCAAAAAAUGGGAGAAAGGAGCAUCCCUGGGCUUAUAACCAUAUAGACUGUACAUAACUUGCUCAACUCCCUCAAAGUGGCAAUGUUUUAUUUUUUACCAAGACAGACUCGUGCAUCCCAAGCAAACCAAGCAUUUAACUGUGGGUGACUAACUACAGGUGUAAUGAAUUGAAAUCCAUGUGGCUAAGCCAAGUGCAAGCUUUUAGAAGUGUAUCUUCUUAAAAAUGAUGUUUAGCAAAUGAACAAAAUGCUCCCAGAACUGCUGAAUUUGUUUCCUUAGCAUUUUAGCUGUUUGACCUGACCAUUUCAAAUUACCUCUUGAAAGAAAUGGACAUAUUCAGGAGAGGAGAUACCCUGUAUUUCUAAUGCAAAAUGCUUCUAGAAAAUGACAUAGCUAUUACUUAUAGCUAUCCAAAAAGAUAUUAUGCUGAGUUGUCAUAUUUUGUGUUGCAGGCUUUUCAUACUGUUGAAAUAUCAACAUCAUAUGUACUGUGUGUGUACAGUUAACUCUUGGUCUCCUGGUGCAAGAUGAGUAGGAAACCUGUGUAAUGUAUUAACAUGACCAGAAAAACACCCCCUCAAAAAAAAUCACUCCAUUGUAAAUUAGGGUAAGACUAGAUAACACCUGAAGAGUAUUAUCUAACCUGAAGAGUAACCAAUAAGCAAAAUGAAUGGCAUGUCCUGGUAUACAUGUGUAUUUUAAAUCAUAGUGAUUUUUUGUUGAAGCUGGAAAACAGGAAGAGAGUGAGAGUAAGAGAAAAUGUAAGUUGCAAAAACAUUUGAUACCAUAAAUUAUGGUUUGUUGAAUACUUGUAGUGAAAAAUGGGGGUUUCUGGAGAUAAUUGCAUGUUUUCUCAAGUAAUAACUGUCCUUACUCUGAAUCUUGAUGAUUAUUUACUGAUUUAUUGUUGGGAUGUUUUUUUUUUCUAUUCAGAAAUAACUAGACUGAUUUCAGCAAGAGAAAAAGCCCAGCAUAAAGGACAUGCUAGUAUCUGCCAUGGAGGAUAUGAAUAAUCAGAAAUAUUUGCAUUAUACAAAUAUGUUGCUUACAGAUACAAAAAAAGGUGUUAACACAACACAUCCUUAAAUAUUAUCGAGAUAUUGUUGAGUAUAUUUGUACAUAGUUCUGUAUGUACAAUUCUCUUCAUUCAUUCCCAUUUAUAACAUUUCACGUAGCCUUUGACACAGAUCUAUAACCAUUGAGAUUUGUGACACUGAUCAGAAUACAGUGAGAGCCCUGAAAUCCCAUUCUCCGACAUGAAACAUCCCUAUGAAUCACAGGUAUUGUGCUACCAGACAGCACAGCAAAAAAUUAACCAGAGCAAAACACUCGACUUGGUGCUGUUACAGCUAAUAGGUCUGAAAUGAAAGAUAAUUGCAUAUUAAAAUAGAGUGGGUAGCUCUGUUUUGAUGUAGAGAUAUAAAGAUGUCAGGCAAGCUAGGCUGCAGCAGCAGGGAAUGGGUGCCCUGAAGUGAUUGAGGACUGAAGCCCAAGAGAGCAUUCCUCACAUUCCUGUGGCACUCCUCCUAUACAUAUGCCCCCAAAAAAGGGAAUUCCAGCACUCUGAAUUGGUAAACUGAGCUUCAGAAAAGCUGGCACUUUUCUAUAGCUGCAGGCUUGAUUCAUUUGAAGGAAUUAUUAUCAUCUCUGGAUGAUGAACACGAGGCAUAUUUAAACUGUUAUUUUUUAGGGCAAAGGGCAUGACAUUUCCAAUAUGUUACUAAAAAAAAAAAAAAAAAAGAAAAAAAUUAAAAAUCCCCCAUAAGGACUUCUAGUAAGCACCAAUAAACAAGAUGUAGAGAAUGUGGAGCACUCCCUAGUAUUUUCCCAUGAUAUGCCCAGAAUAAUUGGUAUUACUGCAAAAAUAUUUUGCUGACACAUCUGAGUGGGAUUAGCCCAAAGAGCUAUCCUUGUUAAUGAGCCAUAUCUAGAAAUUGAGUAGGUUUAGUAGAUUACUGUCUGAAGACACAGCAUUUUUGAGAACCACUUAUGUCUAAAAGUGUAACAUAUUUUCUCCUGGGACUAGCAGUGUACGUUUUGUAAGGAAAAGAUGGUUAUCCCUGGGAAAUUUCACAAAUGAAAAA